This is a small nucleolar RNA of Doryrhamphus excisus (bluestripe pipefish), 75 nucleotides long. RefSeq annotates it as small nucleolar RNA SNORD49. Lineage: Eukaryota; Metazoa; Chordata; Actinopteri; Syngnathiformes; Syngnathidae. The record is from RefSeq and is a predicted model, not a curated record.
UUCUAGGAUGAUAACUGCUACAUAGGAAGUGCCGUCUGAUGCGAUAACUGACGAUGGCUAAAAGCUAUUCUGAGA